UACGGAGGAUCCAAGCGUUAUCCGGAUUUAUUGGGCUUAAAGGGUGCGUAGGUGGCUUUUUAAGUCAGGGGUGAAAGACGGUAGCUUAACUAUCGCAGUGCCUUUGAUACUGAAGAGCUUGAAUGAACUAGAGGUAGGCGGAAUGUGACAAGUAGCGGUGAAAUGCAUAGAUAUGUCACAGAACACCAAUUGCGAAGGCAGCUUACUAUGGUUUUAUUGACACUGAGGCACGAAAGCGUGGGGAUCAAACAGG
This 253-nucleotide ribosomal RNA is filed under the name uncultured bacterium. RNAcentral describes it as "partial 16S ribosomal RNA". It matches the Rfam family "Bacterial small subunit ribosomal RNA", at positions 524 to 776 of the family's 1533-position model. The record is from RNAcentral.